This 492-nucleotide ribosomal RNA is filed under the name uncultured bacterium. RNAcentral describes it as "partial 16S ribosomal RNA". It matches the Rfam family "Bacterial small subunit ribosomal RNA", at positions 29 to 507 of the family's 1533-position model. The record is from RNAcentral.
AGUGAACGCUGGCGGUAGGCCUAACACAUGCAAGUCGAACGGCAGCACAGUAAGAGCUUGCUCUUACGGGUGGCGAGUGGCGGACGGGUGAGGAAUACAUCGGAAUCUACUUUUUCGUGGGGGAUAACGUAGGGAAACUUACGCUAAUACCGCAUACGACCUACGGGUGAAAGCAGGGGAUCUUCGGACCUUGCGCGAUUGAAUGAGCCGAUGUCGGAUUAGCUAGUUGGCGGGGUAAAGGCCCACCAAGGCGACGAUCCGUAGCUGGUCUGAGAGGAUGAUCAGCCACACUGGAACUGAGACACGGUCCAGACUCCUACGGGAGGCAGCAGUGGGGAAUGUUGGACAAUGGGCGCAAGCCUGAUCCAGCCAUACCGCGUGGGUGAAGAAGGCCUUCGGGUUGUAAAGCCCUUUUGUUGGGAAAGAAAAGCAGCAGGUUAAUACCCCGCUGUUCUGACGGUACCCAAAGAAUAAGCACCGGCCAACUUCGUG